GCCGCGUUGGCGUAGUGGUAGCGCGUCUCACUUGUACUCUCCGAGUUCAUGAGAAGGUCAUUCGUUCAAUCCGGGUACGCGGCA
Molecule: non-coding RNA, 84 nt
Organism: Lyophyllum atratum
Lineage: Eukaryota; Fungi; Basidiomycota; Agaricomycetes; Agaricales; Lyophyllaceae
Source: the annotation of a GenBank genome assembly